Molecule: ribosomal RNA, 863 nt
Filed under: uncultured bacterium
Lineage: Bacteria
Description: bacterial SSU rRNA
Rfam family: Bacterial small subunit ribosomal RNA
Source: RNAcentral
CGGUAAUACGGAGGGUGCAAGCGUUACUCGGAAUCACUGGGCGUAAAGGGUGCGCAGGCGGUUUGGUAAGCUGGAUGUGAAAUCCCACGGCUCAACCGUGGAACUGCAUCCAGAACUGCCAGACUAGAGUCUGGGAGAGGUGAAUGGAAUUAGUGGUGUAGGGGUAAAAUCCGUAGAGAUCACUAGGAAUACCGAUUGCGAAGGCGAUUCACUGGAACAGAACUGACGCUGAGGCACGAAAGCGUGGGGAGCAAACAGGAUUAGAUACCCUGGUAGUCCACGCCCUAAACGAUGAAUGCUAGUUGUUGGUGUGCCAGUCACAUCAGUAAUGCAGCUAACGCAAUAAGCAUUCCGCCUGGGGAGUACGGUCGCAAGAUUAAAACUCAAAGGAAUAGACGGGGACCCGCACAAGCGGUGGAGCAUGUGGUUUAAUUCGAAGAUACGCGAAGAACCUUACCUAGGCUUGACAUCCUUGGAAUCAUCCAGAGAUGGAUGAGUGCUAGUUUACUAGAGCCAAGUGACAGGUGCUGCACGGCUGUCGUCAGCUCGUGUCGUGAGAUGUUGGGUUAAGUCCCGCAACGAGCGCAACCCUCGUCCUUAGUUGCUAACAGAUAUGCUGAGCACUCUAAGGAGACUGCCCUCGCAAGGGGGAGGAAGGUGAGGACGACGUCAAGUCAUCAUGGCCCUUACGCCUAGGGCGACACACGUGCUACAAUGGUUAGGACAAUGAGAGGCGAUACCGCGAGGUGGAGCAAAUCUAUAAACCUAAUCUCAGUUCGGAUUGUAGUCUGCAACUCGACUACAUGAAGCUGGAAUCGCUAGUAAUCGCAGAUCAGCCAUGCUGCGGUGAAUACGUUCCCGGG